UACGUAGGUGGCAAGCGUUACUCGGAAUCACUAGGCGUAAAGCGCAUGUAGGCGGUUCGGUAAGUCUCUUGUGAAAGCUCCCGGCUCAACUGGGAGAGGUCAAGGGAAACUACCGGGCUAGAGUGUGGCAGAGGAAGCUGGAAUUCCCGGUGUAGCGGUGAAAUGCGUAGAGAUCGGGAGGAACACCUGUGGCGAAGGCGGCCACCUGGGUGGAUACUGACGCUGAGACGCGAAAGCGUGGGGAGCAAACAGG
RNAcentral lists this ribosomal RNA (253 nucleotides) under uncultured bacterium. RNAcentral's name for it is "partial 16S ribosomal RNA". It matches the Rfam family "Bacterial small subunit ribosomal RNA", at positions 524 to 776 of the family's 1533-position model. The record is from RNAcentral.